AGCUGAAUAUCUAUGAAGAAAUCAUGAGAAUGUUCGUGAUGAUAACUGUGGAAGCCAGUAAUGCCGCUUACAGCAAUGACAGAACCAACCAAUAUAGACAUGUAUCAGGAGCUGUUAUCAAUGCAUUGGCGAAUAUAGCUGCCAAAUACAGGGUGACUCUGAAAUGAACGAACUGCUUGUUCGCCUUCUAGAACUUUUCGGCAGCUAGGAUUGGAGGGGAAGCGGGCAUCUGAGAAGGCUCCUGCCUCAAAUAAGGCGUCCAGCAGUGCAGGUAACCUGGGAAUGUUGAUACCAGUGAUAGCAGUGCUCCUGAGACGACUAGCUAUGAUUCGUCAGCCGAAGCCGCGACUGCACAAGCUGUUCCGAGAUUCUGGCUCUACUGUGUCGUCAUGGGG
Molecule: long non-coding RNA, 395 nt
Organism: Nilaparvata lugens (brown planthopper)
Lineage: Eukaryota; Metazoa; Arthropoda; Insecta; Hemiptera; Delphacidae
Exons: 3
Source: RefSeq, a predicted model, not a curated record